GACGAACGCUGGCGGCGUGCUUAACACAUGCCAGUCGAACGGAAAGGCCCUGCUUGCAGGGUGCUCGAGUGGCGAACGGGUGAGUAACACGUGGGUGAUCUGCCCCUUACUUUGGGAUAAGCCUGGGAAACUGGGUCUAAUACUGGAUAGGACCAUGCUGUAGGUGGUGUGGUGGAAAGAUUAGUUUCGGUAAGGGAUGAGCUCGCGGCCUAUCAGCUUGUUGGUGGGGUAAUGGCCUACCAAGGCGUCGACGGGUAGCCGGCCUGAGAGGGUGGACGGCCACAUUGGGACUGAGAUACGGCCCAGACUCCUACGGGAGGCAGCAGUGGGGAAUAUUGCACAAUGGGCGCAAGCCUGAUGCAGCGACGCCGCGUGGGGGAUGACGGCCUUCGGGUUGUAAACUCCUUUCAGCCAUGGCGAAGCCCUUGUGGUGACGGUAGUGGUAGAAGAAGCACCGGCUAACUACGUG
RNAcentral lists this ribosomal RNA (469 nucleotides) under uncultured bacterium. RNAcentral's name for it is "partial 16S ribosomal RNA". It matches the Rfam family "Bacterial small subunit ribosomal RNA", at positions 28 to 507 of the family's 1533-position model. The record is from RNAcentral.